CGUUUCUGUGGGGACAGGGAUCCUACUUUUUCUCCCCAGUGGAACUUCUUGCACCAGGACCUGAGUCUACUGUCUUCCAUCCGACCUGACCCUGGAGUUUGAAGUGUGGGGCCAACUUGCCGGUUUCGGUUGGGACUUUGCUUCGAAUGGUGUGCCUGCUGCCAGGCGAGAAGCGUUCAGGUGUGUCAGGUACAGGAUUUCUCCCCGGCUCACUCGCCAAGCGCUGCGAGAUGUGCACCACUGUAGCUUCUUUUGGAGGGUCACACUUAAUCUCUUGUCAGCACUCGGAGCCUUUCAGAGCCGAGGAGAAAACCAUUCUUGCAACUUGCUUUCAAUCAAACAGGGCUUCACUCAGCUUGAUAAUGGACCCCUACUAACUCCUGAAUGCUUCAGAAAUGAAGUUCACUCUUGAAAGACAUGGGCCUCACCCCAGGCCUGUUCCCAGUCUGUGUGGAGGAGCCUACGGGCUGUAGUAGGUGCACCCCAGAGUUGGGGCACCCUCACAGGUCCCCCACCCAAGCACAGGGCACUCCUGCCAGCAGGCAGCACACACAAGCCUGUGACCAGACCAGGCUCAGAAGCUGAGGGGGAGCUGCAGAGGUGUUCCGGACAGGCAGCCUCCACCUGAGGACCCCCUGGGGCUCUGUGCACCAGCAAAGUUGGGGUGACCAACAAGCGGCCUGGGGUGGAGGGUGGUGGGAACGGUGCAGAAGUUUCUCAUCCUCACUCCGGGACCUGCAGGCUCAGCCUGGCAAGAAGCUGUUCUCACAAGCCUGGCUCAGCUGCCCUGACUUUCCUCACAGGAGUCGAGAAGCACAGAGGCCAUGCUGUCCAGGACAAGACGCAGGCUGGAAAGACUGCACGAUGUAAAGCCGACCUUCUGUUUUGGCGCUUCUCUCUGGAAACCUCUUGAUGACAAACCUAGACCUGUGUCUGAGGCAGUCACAGCCUGAAGAAGAGACCCAGCCACGGGACUGUGGCCCCUCUGGACCACACAGGCCACCAGGAAGGAGUGGGGGUGGCAGCAGCUUUCCUCUUGUCUUCAGAAGAAAACAGAAUGAAGAUAUAUGGCAACUAGACAGACGGCAAUCCCAAACAACAGUGGCGUCCGUUCUGGACUUACCUGCACUUGGAGGCUCGGAAGAGGACACGAAGCCAUGGCAACACAACGACAGUUCGGACGUGUCAACGGCCAGUGUUGCAGCCGGCACCUCUGGGCAGGGCUUGAUGGCUGCUCGCACAGGGAAGCCCCUGCACACACAGGUACCCCCCCCCCCCACCCCGCCACAGGCGUGGGCAUCUCCUCGAAGGGCAGGCACUGGCCCCUUCCAGCCUGGGGCUCUAUGCCCCGGCACCUCCCCACAUCACCUCUGCCCAGGGAAAUCUAGUUUCCCACCUGCAUCCAGACUCAGGCCAGUUGAGCUGGACUAG
Molecule: long non-coding RNA, 1431 nt
Filed under: Capra hircus (goat)
Lineage: Eukaryota; Metazoa; Chordata; Mammalia; Artiodactyla; Bovidae
Description: lncRNA (ENSCHIG00000007084.1)
Source: RNAcentral